GAUGGUGUCCGGGCGGUCGCGGAGGCUUUUACGGCCUCCGAGGAAAGUCCGAGCUCCAGAGGGCAGGGCGCUGGGUAACACCCAGGGGCGUCGAGGGAGACCUCGGCGCUACGGAUAGGGCCACAGAAACGAGACCGCCGAUGGCCUCAAGGUCGGCUCAAGACCUUGGGGAUCAGGCAAGGGUGAAACGGUGGGGUAAGAGCCCACCAGGCGGGAUGGCGACAUCCCGUGCUGGCAACCCCCGCCCGGAGCAAGGCCAAACAGGAGGGAAGAGGCCACUCGGCCUCGGGGUGUGGCCCGCACCCCUUGACCUCCGGGUAGGCCGCUUGAGCGGUGGGGAAACUCACCGCCCAGAUAGAUGACCGCCGCCCACAGGCUCAAACCUGUGGGAACAGAACUCGGCUUAUAGGACACUGUCCCGG
The sequence is an RNase P RNA, 422 nucleotides long. It matches the Rfam family "Bacterial RNase P class A". From Rfam's summary of the family: Ribonuclease P (RNase P) is a ubiquitous endoribonuclease, found in archaea, bacteria and eukarya as well as chloroplasts and mitochondria.